GUACUACAGUGGAAAUCAACCAAUCUCUCAGAAUCAUCUAGUGAAUUUUAUUUUCUAGCACUACUUACAUAUUUUUACUUGAGACAAGUUGAGAAGCAUAUACAUGCAACGUUUUAUCGGAUAUUAUCGUGUAUUUAUCAUGUAAUUUAUUUCCCAUCAUGAGUGAAAAGGUAAAGCAAUACAUAUGUGGCUGUUGUAACUGGGUAUUAAAAGAAAAUCAAGUCGCCUCACAUACAUGUUUGACAAUUUUUGAUAAAGAUAAGUGUUGGUUGCAGAUGAUAAAAGACAUAUUUUCAUACAAGAUACUGAUUUAAAUCAAGAAAAUGAUAAAGAAGAAAACAGUACAAAAACAUUAGAAAAUGAAGAGGCAGAAAAUAUGCACAGUAAUGCAUUCUAUUACACAAAUAAACAAGCACUUGAUGAAGAUUUAAUAAAUGCUGUUCAAAAGAGACCUCCAUUAUAUGAUUAUCAAAUGCCUUUAAAAGAACAAACUCGACAAAAAAAUGAUUUAUGGAAGAAAGUAACUGAAAAUUUAAAUGGAAUGUAUACACCAAUAGAAGCGGAAAAAAGAUGGAAUUAUCUCAAAGAUCGUUAUCGGAAGUCAUUAAAUAGUUACAAAAAAAUUCAGGAAUUUACUCAAAGGAGCGGUGCAGCUGGUACUUCCAAAAAUAAAUUAAUAAAACCAUCAUUUAAGCAUCAUCAUUUUAUUACUUACCGAAUAAUUAUUCAUUAACAAUAAAUGUCUUAUAAAACUA
This is a long non-coding RNA of Linepithema humile (Argentine ant), 755 nucleotides long. RefSeq lists it as uncharacterized. The record is from RefSeq and is a predicted model, not a curated record. Lineage: Eukaryota; Metazoa; Arthropoda; Insecta; Hymenoptera; Formicidae.